GGCCUUAUAGCUCAGUGGUAGAGCAUGCGAUUGCAGAUCGCAGGGUCCCGUGUUCGAACCACGGUGGGGCCU
RNAcentral lists this transfer RNA (72 nucleotides) under Trametes cinnabarina. RNAcentral describes it as "Pycnoporus cinnabarinus tRNA". It matches the Rfam family "tRNA". From Rfam's summary of the family: Transfer RNA (tRNA) molecules are approximately 80 nucleotides in length. Their secondary structure includes four short double-helical elements and three loops (D, anti-codon, and T loops). RNAcentral also lists the same sequence under 2 other names. Lineage: Eukaryota; Fungi; Basidiomycota; Agaricomycetes; Polyporales; Polyporaceae. The record is from Rfam by way of RNAcentral.